CUCAGGACGAACGCCGGCGGCGUGCUUAACACAUGCAAGUCGAGCGGUAAGGCUCCUUCGGGAGUACACGAGCGGCGAACGGGUGAGUAACACGUGAGCAAUCUGCCCUUCACUUUGGGAUAACCACCGGAAACGGUGGCUAAUACCGAAUACGACCACUUCAGGCAUCUGAUGGUGGUGGAAAGUUCCGGCGGUGGAGGAUGAGCUCGCGGCCUAUCAGCUUGUUGGUGGGGUAAUGGCCUACCAAGGCAACGACUGGUAGCCGGCCUGAGAGGGUGACCGGCCACACUGGGACUGAGACACGGCCCAGACUCCUACGGGAGGCAGCAGUGGGGAAUAUUGGACAAUGGGCGAAAGCCUGAUCCAGCAACGCCGCGUGAGGGAUGACGGCCUUCGGGUUGUAAACCUCUUUCAGUAGGGACGAAGCGCAAGUGACGGUACCUACAGAAGAAGCACCGGCCAACUACGUGCCAGCAGCCGCGGUAAUACGUAGGGUGCGAGCGUUGUCCGGAAUUAUUGGGCGUAAAGGGCUCGUAGGCGGUUUGUCGCGUCGGGAGUGAAAACACGGGGCUUAACCCCGUGCCUGCUUCCGAUACGGGCAGACUAGAGGUAUGCAGGGGAGAACGGAAUUCCUGGUGUAGCGGUGAAAUGCGCAGAUAUCAGGAGGAACACCGGUGGCGAAGGCGGUUCUCUGGGCAUUACCUGACGCUGAGGAGCGAAAGUGUGGGGAGCGAACAGGAUUAGAUACCCUGGUAGUCCACACCGUAAACGUUGGGCGCUAGGUGUGGGACUCAUUCCACGAGUUCCGUGCCGCAGCUAACGCAUUAAGCGCCCCGCCUGGGGGAGUACGGCCGCAAGGCUAAAACU
Molecule: ribosomal RNA, 867 nt
Filed under: uncultured bacterium
Lineage: Bacteria
Description: bacterial SSU rRNA
Rfam family: Bacterial small subunit ribosomal RNA
Source: RNAcentral